This is a non-coding RNA of Raphidocelis subcapitata, 74 nucleotides long. The record is from the annotation of a GenBank genome assembly. Lineage: Eukaryota; Viridiplantae; Chlorophyta; Chlorophyceae; Sphaeropleales; Selenastraceae.
GCUCCCAUGGUCUAGUUGGUAAUGAUGUCUGCCUAACACGCAGAAGGUCCCCAGUUCGAACCUGGGUGGGAGCA